RNAcentral lists this ribosomal RNA (690 nucleotides) under Pseudoxanthomonas jiangsuensis. Its description in RNAcentral is "bacterial SSU rRNA". It matches the Rfam family "Bacterial small subunit ribosomal RNA", at positions 75 to 758 of the family's 1533-position model. Lineage: Bacteria; Pseudomonadati; Pseudomonadota; Gammaproteobacteria; Lysobacterales; Lysobacteraceae. The record is from RNAcentral.
GGAGCUUGCUCCUUGGGUGGCGAGUGGCGGACGGGUGAGGAAUACAUCGGAAUCUACUUUUUCGUGGGGGAUAACGUAGGGAAACUUACGCUAAUACCGCAUACGACCUACGGGUGAAAGCAGGGGACCUUCGGGCCUUGCGCGAUUGAAUGAACCGAUGUCGGAUUAGCUAGUUGGCGGGGUAAAGGCCCACCAAGGCGACGAUCCGUAGCUGGUCUGAAAGGAUGAUCAGCCACACUGGAACUGAGACACGGUCCACACUCCUACGGGAGGCAGCAGUGGGGAAUAUUGGACAAUGGGCGCAAGCCUGAUCCAGCCAUACCGCGUGGGUGAAGAAGGCCUUCGGGUUGUAAAGCCCUUUUGUUGGGAAAGAAAUCCAGCCGGCUAAUACCUGGUUGGGAUGACGGUACCCAAAGAAUAACCACCGGCUAACUUCGUGCCACCAGCCGCGGUAAUACGAAGGGUGCAAGCGUUACUCGUAAUUACUGGGCGUAAAGCGUGCGUAGGUGGUUGUUUAAGUCUGUUGUGAAAGCCCUGGGCUCAGCCUGGGAACUGCAGUGGAAACUGGACAACUAGAGUGUGGUAGAGGGUAACGGAAUUCCCGGUGUAUCAGUGAAAUGCGUAUAGAUCGGGAGGAACAUCCAUGGCGAAGGCACCUACCUGGACCAACACUGACACUGAGGCACGAAA